GCCAAACUGUAAAAACUUAACUCACACCUACAAACGCCAGGGUAUUACGAGCCCAGCUUAAAACCCAAAGGACUUGACGGUGUCCUACCCAACUAGAGGAGCCUGUUCUGUAAUCGAUAAUCCACGGUAUACCUUACCACUUUUUGCCAAUCAGCCUGUAUACCUCCGUCGCAAGCUCACCGUAUGAACGCAUAGUAGUGAACUUAAAGGCCAAACACCCAAACGUCAGGUCAAGGUGCAGCUAAUAAAGUGGAAGCAAUGGGCUACAAUUUCUAAUUUAGAACAAACGAAAUGCUACAUGAAACAUAGUCAUGAAGGCGGAUUUAGCAGUAAGUAGGAAAUAGAGAGUCCUACUAAACUUGGCCCUAGGACGUGUACAAACCGCCCGUCACCCUCUUCGAUAGCCAUACUACAGUCUAUAACACAAGUCUGCACCAAAGAAGAGGCAAGUCGUAACAUGGUAAGUGUACUGGAAAGUGUACUUGGAAUAACAAAAUGUAGCUUAAUCUAAAGCCUCUCGCUUACACCGAGAAAACGUUUGUUCAACCCAAAUCAUUUUGAGACCGUAAAUCUAGCCUGCAACCACCAUAUGACAAAACCUUCUCAUUAUAAUAAAAUAAAACAUUUUAAUUUUAUAGUAGAGGCGAUCAAAAAAUAUCUAAGCGCUUAAAAAACAGUACCGUAAGGGAACAAUGAAAUAAAAAUGAAAUAAAUUUAAAGUCCAUUAAAGCAGAGACCUAAGCUCG
Molecule: ribosomal RNA, 746 nt
Filed under: Rhacophorus pardalis
Lineage: Eukaryota; Metazoa; Chordata; Amphibia; Anura; Rhacophoridae
Description: partial 12S ribosomal RNA
Rfam family: Bacterial small subunit ribosomal RNA (bases 1-498)
Source: RNAcentral